CAUGUAGGCGGAUUGAUAAGUUUGAAGUGAAAUCCUAUAGCUUAACUAUAGAACUGCUUUGAAAACUGUUAACCUAGAAUGUGGGAGAGGUAGAUGGAAUUUCUGGUGUAGGGGUAAAAUCCGUAGAGAUCAGAAGGAAUACCAAUUGCGAAGGCGAUCUACUGGAACAUUAUUGACGCUGAGAUGCGAGAGCGUGGGAGCAAACA
RNAcentral lists this ribosomal RNA (206 nucleotides) under uncultured bacterium. Its description in RNAcentral is "partial 16S ribosomal RNA". It matches the Rfam family "Bacterial small subunit ribosomal RNA", at positions 568 to 774 of the family's 1533-position model. The record is from RNAcentral.